GGCAUGGUGGCUCAGUUGUAAGAGCGCCCGCCUCAUGAACGGGAGGUCGUGGGUUCGAACCCUGGCUGAGUCA
Strongylocentrotus purpuratus (purple sea urchin) is the source of this 73-nucleotide non-coding RNA. NCBI's taxonomy places the organism in Eukaryota, Metazoa, Echinodermata, Echinoidea, Camarodonta, Strongylocentrotidae. The record is from Rfam.